RNAcentral lists this long non-coding RNA (873 nucleotides) under Hordeum vulgare. RNAcentral's name for it is "long non-coding RNA (HVUL_LNC017545)". The record is from RNAcentral. Lineage: Eukaryota; Viridiplantae; Streptophyta; Magnoliopsida; Poales; Poaceae.
GUCCGGUGAUAUGUACCACCUACAGUACCUACGUUUUGUUUAACAGGCUUGUAUGGGGAUAUGUACCUCGCAUGUGUCCCGGUGAAAGCAGUAAAUAAUACUCACCUAACACGGUAAAAAAAAACAGAGCAAGUAGUACAGAAGAUAGCAGCAGUACAAUGCGUUGAAUCUUCCUUGCUUCAUUUCUUCUACUAGCUGAUGCAGAUGCUGAGAUCCGUGAGUGUCUGAGCGAGUGCAUGGCCGGCGACAGCGAUGGCGACGGCUGCGAGAUUAAGCCGGUGACCAACCAAAGCAAGCAUUUGGUCUACUGAUUGGCUUGACUGAAUCGAGCACGAGCGAGGGGUCCAUGGCUGGUAUUAUCGCCAUGUCUGAAUCCCACCAACAAAUUGACAAGCUCCCUUGUGUGUUCCUUCUUCCUGCGUCCCCACCUAAUUGUACUCUCCCUACCCAUCAUCAUCAUCAUUCAUCAUCAUCAUCAAAACGGAGCUAGCUGCACAAAUUUAAAAUAUGUCUUGGGACUGGGAAAGAGAGGAUGAAAUGAACAAGAAACAGAGCAAAAUCAAGCUCCGGAGCUGACUAGCUAGCUAGUACUAGUAUAGUAGUAGUAAUGGUGAUGGAGACGGGGCCCGCAGCUAGCUACCUUGUCUUGCGGCGGGGACAUUCAACGCAUUGUACUGCUGUUAUCUUCUGUACUACUUGCUCUGUUAUUUUUACCGUGUUGGGUGAGUAUUAUUUACUGCUUUCACCGGGAUACAUGCGAGGCACUAUUGCUUAGCCUGAUCUAGUGGCAAUGCGACUGCACUGCACUGUCCUCACAUGCAUGCUAGCGUCAUUCAUUCUUUUCCUGGCUUUGAACGCUGGUAUGGAUCGACU